Molecule: long non-coding RNA, 562 nt
Organism: Myotis brandtii (Brandt's bat)
Lineage: Eukaryota; Metazoa; Chordata; Mammalia; Chiroptera; Vespertilionidae
Exons: 3
Source: RefSeq, a predicted model, not a curated record
AGCCUGAUGAAUGAAUGUUGGUGAGGAGAUGAAGCUUGUAUACGGAGCUGAUGAAAAUGUCAUCUGGCACAACCAUUUGGGAAAAGAAUGUUGCAUUCUGGUCUGGCCUCAAUGCCCGUGACACCGCCUGAGACCCGAAGUGCCCUUGCUUUCUCCUCUCCUGGUGCCAUGGAUGCUGCAGUCUCCUCCACGCUCGGGACAUGCUCCUGAAGCUGAGAUGCCCUCACCCCUAUGCACACCCACGGUCCUGUCUUCUCUGUCUCCAGCAAAGGAAAGGAUUCAGAGGUGCCAGCCCGCAGGCUUCUCUUCUGCGUUACUGCUCUUGACAGCCACCAGGAGGAGCCACACGUCUCCCAGGCUGGACGAGCAAUCUUCCAGGUGGAAGCAGGAGGAUACAAUUCCCAUGCCAAGAAUGCUUCUUGUCACUGGACAAAGCCCAAAUCUCCAUAAUACAGCCUUCUGUUUUUAUACGACCACGAAUUCUUGAUAUCUUUGACUCCCCAGUAAGCAUGCAAUUUCCAAAUGUAAACUAUCCCUAAAUUAUAGUUUUCCCCAACUCUAA